RNAcentral lists this ribosomal RNA (1943 nucleotides) under Stutzerimonas stutzeri. Its description in RNAcentral is "partial 23S ribosomal RNA". It matches the Rfam family "Bacterial large subunit ribosomal RNA", at positions 1 to 1948 of the family's 2925-position model. Lineage: Bacteria; Pseudomonadati; Pseudomonadota; Gammaproteobacteria; Pseudomonadales; Pseudomonadaceae. The record is from RNAcentral.
GUUGUAUAGGUUAAGUUAAUAAGGGCGCGUGGUGGAUGCCUUGGCACUAGGAGCCGAUGAAGGACGUGACUAACUACGAUAAGCUUUGGUGAGCGGUAAGUACGCUAUGACCCAGAGAUUUCCGAAUGGGGAAACCCAACUCGAAAAGAGUUGUCGCUAUCUGAAUACAUAGGAUAGACGACGGAAUACGCUGUGAACUGAAACAUCUCAUUAGCAGCAGGAGCAGAAAGAAAAAUCGAUUCCCUAAGUAGCGGCGAGCGAACGGGGAAGAGCCCAAACCAACGUGCUUGCAUGUUGGGGUUGUAGGACUGAUAAAUAAGAGUUACAAAAGUGUUUUAUAGCAGAACAAGUUGGGAAGCUUGGCGAAACAGGGUGAUAGCCCCGUAAGCGAAAUAGAGCACACUCUUUUCAGGAUCCUGAGUACGGCCGGACACGUGAAAUCCGGUCGGAAUCUGCGGGGACCAUCCCGUAAGGCUAAAUACUCCCUAGUGACCGAUAGUGAACCAGUACCGUGAGGGAAAGGUGAAAAGCACCCCGGAAGGGGAGUGAAAUAGUUCCUGAAACCACGACGCCUACAAGAAGUCAGAGCCCGUUAAUGGGUGAUGGCGUGCCUUUUGUAGAAUGAACCGGCGAGUUACGGUAUCGUGCGAGGUUAAGGUGGAAAGACCGGAGCCGCAGCGAAAGCGAGUGUGAAUAGCGCGAAUAGUACGAUGCUGUAGACCCGAAACCAGGUGACCUACCCAUGGUCAGGAUGAAGGUGAGGUAAAACUUACUGGAGGUCCGAACCGGUGCAUGUUAAAAAAUGCUCGGAUGAACUGUGGGUAGCGGUGAAAUUCCAAACGAACUUGGAGAUAGCUGGUUCUCUCCGAAAUAGCUUUAGGGCUAGCCUCAUUAUAAGCAUACUGGAGGUAGAGCACUGUUAAGCCUAGGGGCCCAUCUCGGGUUACCAAAGUUUGAUAAACUCCGAAUGCCAGAUAUGUAUGAAUGGGAGUCAGACGAUGAGUGAUAAGAUCCACCGUCGAAAGGGGAACAGCCCAGAUCGCCAGUUAAGGUCCCUAAAUAUAUGUUAAGUGGAAAACGAUGUGAUAGUGCAUAGACAACUAGGAUGUUGGCUUAGAAGCAGCCACCAUUUAAAGAGUGCGUAAUAGCUCACUAGUCGAGUGCCAUUGCGCGGAAAAUGUACCGGGGCUAAACAUAUUACCGAAACUGCGGGUGCACGUAAGUGCGCGAUAGGAGAGCGUUGUAAGGGCGACGAAGGUAGACCGUGAGGACUGCUGGAGCGCUUACAAGUGAGAAUGCCGGUAUGAGUAGCGAAAGACAGGUGAGAAUCCUGUCCACCGAAUGACUAAGGUUUCCUGGGGAAGGCUCGUCCACCCAGGGUUAGUCGGGACCUAAGGCGAGGCUGAGAAGCGUAGUCGAUGGAUAACAGGUUGAGAUUCCUGUACCAGUAGUAAUGCGUUUGACCGAUGGAGGGACGCAGGAGGCUACCAGAUGCGCACUGAUGGAUAUGUGCGUGCAAGCAGUAAGUUUUGUAGAGAGUGAAAUGCUUUCUACUAUAAGGACAAGCUGUGAUGCGGAUCGAAAUAAAGUAGAGAAGUCUGAGAUGUCACACUGCCGAGAAAAGCUUCUAGGAAGUAUUACACUGCCCGUACCGCAAACCGACACAGGUAGUCGAGUGGAGAACACUAAGGUGAGCGAGAGAACCCUCGUUAAGGAACUCGGCAAAAUGACCCCGUAACUUCGGGAGAAGGGGUGCUCAUGGCAACAUGAGCCGCAGUGAAUAGGCCCAGGCGACUGUUUAUCAAAAACACAGGUUUCUGCAAAAUCGUAAGAUGAAGUAUAGGGGCUGACGCCUGCCCGGUGCUGGAAGGUUAAAAGGAGUGCUUAGCUUCGGCGAAGGUAUGAAUUGAAGCCCCAGUAAACGGCGGCCGUAACUAUAACGG